This 468-nucleotide ribosomal RNA is filed under the name uncultured bacterium. RNAcentral's name for it is "partial 16S ribosomal RNA". It matches the Rfam family "Bacterial small subunit ribosomal RNA", at positions 28 to 507 of the family's 1533-position model. The record is from RNAcentral.
GACGAACGCUGGCGGCGUGCUUAACACAUGCAAGUCGAACGGAAAGGCCCUGCUUUUGUGGGGUGCUCGAGUGGCGAACGGGUGAGUAACACGUGAGUAACCUGCCCUUGACUUUGGGAUAACUUCAGGAAACUGGGGCUAAUACCGGAUAGGAGCUCCUGCUGCAUGGUGGGGGUUGGAAAGUUUCGGCGGUUGGGGAUGGACUCGCGGCUUAUCAGCUUGUUGGUGGGGUAGUGGCUUACCAAGGCUUUGACGGGUAGCCGGCCUGAGAGGGUGACCGGCAACAUUGGGAAUGAGAUACGGCCCAGACGCCUACGGGAGGCAGCAGUGGGGAAUAUUGCACAAGGGGCGGAAGCCUGAUGCAGCAACGCCGCGUGCGGGAUGACGGCCUUCGGGUUGUAAACCGCUUUCGCCGGUGACGAAGCGGGAGUGACGGUAAUGGGUAAAGAAGCACCGGCUAACUACGUG